AGUGGAUGGGGAACAACCUAGUUGUGCGUGUGUAAAGGUAGUGCCAAGAAAAGCGGUGAUCAUGAUGAAAAUCAAUUCCCGGUACCCGAAACCGACACAGGUGGGCAAGUAGAGAAUACUAAGGGGCGCGAGGUAACUCUCCCCAAGGAACUCGGCAAAAUGACCCCGUAACUUAGGGAGAAGGGGUGCCACCGAGAGGUGGUCGCAGUGAAGAGGCCCAGGCGACUGUUUAGCAAAAACAUAGGUCUCUGCAAACUCGAAAGAGGAGGUAUAGGGGCUGACGCCUGCCCAGUGCCGGAAGGUUAAAGAAGUUGGUCAGUCUUAGGAUGAAGCUAGCGACUGAAGCCCCGGUGAACGGCGGCCGUAACUAUAACGGUCCUAAGGUAGCGAAAUUCCUUGUCGGGUAAGUUCCGACCCGCACGAAAGGCGUAACGAUCUGGGCGCUGUCUCGGAGAGAGGCUCGGCGAAAUAGGAUUGUCUGUGAAGAUACGGACUACCUGCAUUUGGACAGAAAGACCCUAUGAAGCUUUACUAUAGCUUGGAGUUGUGUUCGGGCUUCCUGUGCGCAGGAUAGGUGGGAGGCGUAGAAGGUAUUCUUGUGGGGAUACUGGAGGCAACGGUGAGAUACCACUCUCAGGAGGCUAGAAUUCUAACUUAAUUAAGGACAGUUUCAGGUGGGUAGUUUGACUGGGGCGGUCGCCUCCAAAAAGGUAACGGAGGCGUACAAAGGUUCCCUCAGACUGGUUGGAAAUCAGUCGCAGAGUGCAAAGGCAGAAGGGAGCUUGACUGCGAGAAGUACAGUUCGAGCAGGGUGGAAACACGGUCUUAGUGAUCCGACGGUGCUGUGUGGAAGGGCCGUCGUUCAACGGAUAAAAGUUACUCUAGGAUAACAGGCUGAUCUCCCCCAAGAGUUCACAUCGACGGGGAGGUUUGGCACCUCGAUGUCGGCUCAUCGCAACCUGGGGCGGAAGUACGUCCCAAGGGUUGGGCUGUUCGCCCAUUAAAGCGGUACGUGAGCUGGGUUCAGAACGUCGUGAGACAGUUCGGUCCAUAUCCGAUGUAGGCGUGAGAAUAUUGAGAGGAGCCUUCCUUAGUACGAGAGGACCGGGAAGGACGCACCGCUGGUGUACCUGUUAUGAUGCCAAUUGUAAACGCAGGGUAGCCAAGUGCGGAGAGGAUAACCGCUGAAAGCAUCUAAGUGGGAAGCCCACCUCAAGAUGAGUAUUCUGGUGUAAGGUCACGGGAAGACGACCCGUAAAUAGGCACGAGGUGGAAGUGCAGAGAUGUAUGAAGCCGAAGUGUACUAAUAGACCGUCGGCUUGAC
This 1324-nucleotide ribosomal RNA is filed under the name metagenome. RNAcentral's name for it is "bacterial LSU rRNA". It matches the Rfam family "Bacterial large subunit ribosomal RNA", at positions 1561 to 2925 of the family's 2925-position model. The record is from RNAcentral.